GCCCAGACAGGAGGAGUGUGAGCGUAGGUGGUUUCCAUCAGGCCUGCAGUGGCCUUGUGUUCUCAGAGCCUCAGACAUCCAUGGUGGGGCCCAGACAGGAGGAGUGUGAGCGUAGGCAGUUUCCAUCAGGCCUGCAGUGGCCUUGUGUUCUCAGAGCCUCAGACAUCCAUGGUGGGGCCCAGACAGGAGGAGUGUGAGCGUAGGCAGUUUCCAUCAGGCCUGCAGUGGCCUUGUGUUCUCAGAGCGUCAGACAUCCAUGGUGGGGCCCAGACAGGAGGAGUGUGAGCGUAGGCGGUUUCCAUCAGGCCUGCAGUGGCCUUGUGUUCUCAGAAAACCAGUCGUCUUCUCAGAACCUCAGACAGCCAUGGUGGGGCCCAGACAGGAGGAGUAUGAGCGUAGGUGGUUUCCGCCUUCUGAUAUUGUCUGAAGGGCACAACACUCAAAACAGGUGUUAACACACACACAGAGGUCUCCUAAGAGAAGACCCUACAGUUUGUCAUCACACAAUUUAUUAACCCUUUAAAAGGUAUGAGGCCUUUGUUUAUCCCAGUCAUUCCCUCCUUUGAGGCCACCAGGCCUCAACAAAUGCAAAGUAACUCAAGCAUAGUGAUUAUAAGAAUCAUCCAUAAAAUGUGCUUUAGACUGUAAGCAAUCCUCAGGAGAUUGAGGAUAGAAAUAACGGUCUUGGUGUGCACUCUUAUCUGUUAUGGUGGUUGUGACGUCUUCUGGUAGUGCAAUAGGUGGUGCCACCCCUGAUGCUCCUAGACCUUCACCGCUCUAGGUGUUUCUGCGAUGGCCUGGUAGGAACCUAUCCAUCUGGGGUGCUUCCACUUCCUUUUGUGGACCUUCUGCUUGAUCCAUUCUUCACCGUCAACAGGUAGGCUGUAUUGGUCACCCUGAUCUGGAACUUCCUGGGCUUUCCUGUAUUGGGAACACAAAUACAUAACAGCAUGAGUUAGUUCCUUCAUAUAUUUGCUCAAAUCAUCAUCCAGUGCAGUCAGGUCAGUGGUCUGUGUAAAGGAACGCUCAUUGGAUUGCCAGUUAAGAGCUCAUGUGGGCUAAGCCCUGUUACGCGGUUUACACUAUUGUGCAUUUUCAUCAAGACUAAGGGGGACACUCUACCCAUGACUUCCCUGUGGAGUGACAUGCUUUGGCAAGCCCCCUUUUAUGGUUUGGUUAGCUCUUUCAGUAAUCCCAUUACUUUGUGGGUGUUAGAUACAAACAAACUUCUGAUCUAUCCCCAAUUGGGCAGCCAC
This is a long non-coding RNA of Oncorhynchus tshawytscha (Chinook salmon), 1256 nucleotides long. The record is from Ensembl. NCBI's taxonomy places the organism in Eukaryota, Metazoa, Chordata, Actinopteri, Salmoniformes, Salmonidae.